UGAGGCAUUGUUCAUGUAGUGCGGUCUGGU
This 30-nucleotide non-coding RNA is filed under the name Mus musculus (house mouse). Lineage: Eukaryota; Metazoa; Chordata; Mammalia; Rodentia; Muridae. The record is from RNAcentral.